RNAcentral lists this transfer RNA (67 nucleotides) under Neoperla sp. FS-2017. RNAcentral's name for it is "tRNA-Phe". Lineage: Eukaryota; Metazoa; Arthropoda; Insecta; Plecoptera; Perlidae. The record is from RNAcentral.
AUUCAAGUAGCCUAUGUGAAGAGCAUAACAUUGAAGCUGUUAAGGAGGUCGGUAAGACCCUUGGAUA